UACGAAGGGGGCUAGCGUUGUUCGGAUUUACUGGGCGUAAAGCGCACGUAGGCGGUUCUUUAAGUCAGAGGUGAAAUCCCAAGGCUCAACCUUGGAACUGCCUUUGAUACUGGGGAUCUUGAGUCCGGGAGAGGUGAGUGGAACUGCGAGUGUAGAGGUGAAAUUCGUAGAUAUUCGCAAGAACACCAGUGGCGAAGGCGGCUCACUGGCCCGGUACUGACGCUGAGGCACGAAAGCGUGGGGAGCAAACAGG
RNAcentral lists this ribosomal RNA (253 nucleotides) under uncultured bacterium. Its description in RNAcentral is "partial 16S ribosomal RNA". It matches the Rfam family "Bacterial small subunit ribosomal RNA", at positions 524 to 776 of the family's 1533-position model. The record is from RNAcentral.